GGCUACCUGGCGCAAUGGUAGCGCGUUUGGCUUCGAU
Molecule: transfer RNA, 37 nt
Filed under: Moniliophthora perniciosa FA553
Lineage: Eukaryota; Fungi; Basidiomycota; Agaricomycetes; Agaricales; Marasmiaceae
Description: tRNA-Arg
Source: RNAcentral